RNAcentral lists this microRNA precursor (104 nucleotides) under Marmota monax (woodchuck). The record is from RNAcentral. Lineage: Eukaryota; Metazoa; Chordata; Mammalia; Rodentia; Sciuridae.
AGUGGGAUUGCUGGCUCAUAUGGUAAGUGUAUGUUUAACUUGAUAAGAAACUGCCAAAGUGCUUUUCCAGAGGAAAUGUACCAUAUUGCACUCCCCCUGGCAAU